AUUGAACGCUGGCGGCAGGCCUAACACAUGCAAGUCGAACGGUAACAGGAAUCAGCUUGCUGAUUCGCUGACGAGUGGCGGACGGGUGAGUAAUGUCUGGGAAACUGCCUGAUGGAGGGGGAUAACUACUGGAAACGGUAGCUAAUACCGCAUAACGUCGCAAGACCAAAGAGGGGGACCUUCGGGCCUCUUGCCAUCGGAUGUGCCCAGAUGGGAUUAGCUAGUAGGUGGGGUAACGGCUCACCUAGGCGACGAUCCCUAGCUGGUCUGAAAGCAUGACCAGCCACACUGGAACUGAGACACGGGCCAGACUCCUACGGGAGGCAGCAGUGGGGAAUAUUGCACAAUGGGCGCAAGCCUGAUGCAGCCAUGCCGCGUGUAUGAAGAAGGCCUUCGGGUUGUAAAGUACUUUCAGCGGGGAGGAAGGGAGUAAAGUUAAUACCCUUGCUCAUUGACGUUACCCGCAGAAGAAGCACCGGCUAACUCCGUGCCAGCCGCCGCGGUAA
Molecule: ribosomal RNA, 506 nt
Filed under: uncultured bacterium
Lineage: Bacteria
Description: partial 16S ribosomal RNA
Rfam family: Bacterial small subunit ribosomal RNA
Source: RNAcentral